RNAcentral lists this ribosomal RNA (900 nucleotides) under uncultured marine bacterium. Its description in RNAcentral is "bacterial SSU rRNA". It matches the Rfam family "Bacterial small subunit ribosomal RNA", at positions 8 to 916 of the family's 1533-position model. The record is from RNAcentral.
AGAGUUUGAUCCUGGCUCAGGACGAACGCUGGCGGUGCGCCUUAUGCAUGCAAGUCGAGCGAAGCUUUUCAGUAGUUUACUACAGAAAAUGACUGAGCGGCGAACGGGUGAGUAACGCGUGAGCAAUCUACCUUAGUUACAGGGAUAGCCCGAGGAAACUCGGAUUAAUACCUGAUAUUCUUUAUUUCUCGCAUGAGAAUAAAAGGAAAGGUCAGCCGAACUAAGAUGAGCUCGCGUUCUAUCAGCUAGUUGGUGAGGUAAAAGCUCACCAAGGCUACGACGGAUAGCUGGUCUGAGAGGACGAUCAGCCACACUGGGACUGAGACACGGCCCAGACUCCUACGGGAGGCUGCAGCAGGGAAUAUUGUGCAAUGAACGAAAGUUUGACACAGCGACACCGCGUGUGGGAUGACGGAUCUAGGUUUGUAAACCACUUUCAGGAGGGAAGAAAAUGACGGUACCUCCAUAAGAAGCCCCGGCCAACUACGUGCCAGCAGCCGCGGUAAUACGUAGGGGGCGAGCGUUGUCCGGAUUUAUUGGGCGUAAAGAGCUCGUAGGCGGUUCAACAAGUCGGUCGUGAAAGUUCAGGGCUCAACCCUGAAAUGUCGAUCGAUACUGUUGUGACUAGGAUACGGUAGAGGUGAGUGGAAUUCCGAGUGUAGCGGUGAAAUGCGUAGAUAUUCGGAGGAACACCAAUUGCGAAGGCAGCUCACUGGGCCGCUAUCGACGCUGAGGAGCGAAAGCUAGGGGAGCAAACAGGAUUAGAUACCCUGGUAGUCCUAGCUGUAAACGAUGGAUACUAGACGUAGGAACUGGAUUGACGGUUUCUGUGUCGCAGCUAACGCGUUAAGUAUCCCGCCUGGGGAGUACGGUCGCAGACUAAACUCAAGGAAUUGACGG